UACGUAGGGGGCGAGCGUUGUCCGGAAUUAUUGGGCGUAAAGAGCUCGUAGGCGGUGUGUCGCGUCGGCCGUGAAAACCUGCAGCUUAACUGUGGGCUUGCGGUCGAUACGGGGCAUCACUGGAGUUCGGCAGGGGAGACUGGAAUUCCUGGUGUAGCGGGUGAAAUGCGCAGAUAUCAGGAGGAACACCAAUUGCGAAGGCAGCUCGCUGGGACGUAACUGACGCUGGAGACGCGAAAGCGUGGGGAGAAACAGG
RNAcentral lists this ribosomal RNA (256 nucleotides) under uncultured bacterium. RNAcentral's name for it is "partial 16S ribosomal RNA". It matches the Rfam family "Bacterial small subunit ribosomal RNA", at positions 524 to 776 of the family's 1533-position model. The record is from RNAcentral.